AUUCCAAUCGAACUCGGAGAUAGCUGGUUCUCCCCGAAAUAGCUUUAGGGCUAGCGUCGGAUAUGUGUAGUGGAGGUAGAGCACUGAAUGGGCUAGGGGGCAUAUCGCUUACCGAACCUUAUCAAACUCCGAAUGCCAUAUACAUUAAGUCCGGCAGUCAGACUACGAAUGAUAAGAUCCGUGGUCAAAAGGGAAACAGCCCAGACCGUCAGCUAAGGUCCCAAAGUGUAAGUUAAGUGGAAAAGGAUGUGGGAUUUCUAAGACAACUAGGAUGUUGGCUUAGAAGCAGCCACUCAUUUAAAGAGUGCGUAAUAGCUCACUAGUCGAGAGAUCCUGCGCCGAAAAUGUACCGGGGCUAAACUUACCACCGAAGCUACGGAUUUGCAAGUAAUUGCAAGUGGUAGGGGAGCGUCGUAAUCGGGCUGAAGUCGUACCGUAAGGAGCGGUGGACUGAUUACGAGUGAGAAUGUUGGCAUUAGUAGCGAGAUGUAGGUGAGAAUCCUACAGGCCGAAUAUCUAAGGUUUCCUCAGGAAGGCUCGUCCGCUGAGGGUUAGUCGGGACCUAAGCCGAGGCCGAAAGGCGUAGGCGAUGGACAAUCGGUUGAUAUUCCGAUACCACUACCAUCGUUAUUAUCGAGGGUGUGACGGAGAAGGAUAGUGUGUGCUAGCGAUUGGAAAUGCUAGUCUAAGCGUUUAGGGAGUUACGGUAGGCAAAUCCGCUGUAACAAUUCUGAGGCGUGAUGGGGAAGGUCAUUAAGACCGAAGUACAUGAUUCCAUGCUUCCAAGAAAAGCAUCUAGAGAGAGAAGUAGUGCCCGUACCGCAAACCGACACAGGUAGAUGAGGAGAGAAUCCUAAGGCCGGCGGAAGAAUUGCAGUUAAGGAACUAGGCAAAUUGACCCCGUAAGUUCGCGAGAAGGGGUGCCUGCGAGAGCAGGCCGCAGAGAAUAGGCCCAAGCAACUGUUUAGCAAAAACACAGGUCUCUGCUAAAGCGUAAGCUGAUGUAUAGGGGCUGACGCCUGCCCGGUGCUGGAAGGUUAAGGGGAACACUUAGCGCAAGCGAAGGUGUGAACUUAAGCCCCAGUAAACGGCGGCCGUAACUAUAACGGUCCUAAGGUAGCGAAAUUCCUUGUCAGGUAAGUUCUGACCCGCACGAAUGGCGUAAUGAUUUGGGCACUGUCUCGACAGCCCGCCCGGCGAAAUUGUAGUACUGGUGAAGAUGCCAGUUACCCGCAACUAGACGGAAAGACCCCAUGGAGCUUUACUGCAGCUUAAUACUGAGAUUCGGUAAUUCAUGUACAGGAUAGGUGGGAGACUGAGAAGCAUGGCCGUCAGGUCGUGUGGAGUCACCGGUGGGAUACCACUCUUGGAUUGCUGGUUUCCUAACCUGCGGCCCUGAAUCGGGUCGGGGGACACUGUUAGACGGGCAGUUUGACUGGGGCGGUCGCCUCCAAAAGAGUAACGGAGGCGCUCAAAGGUUCGUUCAGCACGGACGGAAAUCGUGCACUGAGUGUAAACGCAUAAACGAGCCUAACUGCGAGAAUGACGGUUCGAGCAGUAACGAAAGUUGGAGUUAGUGAUCCGGCGGUAUGUGAAUGGAAAUGCCGUCGCUCAACGGAUAAAAGCUACCCUGGGGAUAACAGGCUGAUCUCCCCCAAGAGUCCACAUCGACGGGGAGGUUUGGCACCUCGAUGUCGGCUCAUCGCAUCCUGGGGCUGUAUUCGGUCCCAAGGGUUUGGCUGUUCGCCAAUUAAAGCGGCACGCGAGCUGGGUUCAGAACGUCGUGAGACAGUUCGGUCCCUAUCCGUCGCGGGCGUAGGAAAUUUGAGAGGAGCUGUCCUUAGUACGAGAGGACCGGGAUGGACUGACCUCUGGUGCACCAGUUGUUCUGCCAAGAGCAUGGCUGGGUAGCUAAGUCGGGAAGGGAUAAACGCUGAAAGCAUCUAAGCGUGAAGCCCCCCUCAAGAUGAGAUUUCCCAUAGCAUAAGCUAGUAAGACCCCUUGAAGAACACAAGGUUGAUAGGUCAGAGGUGGAAGUGCGGUAACGUAUGUAGCUGACUGAUACUAAUAGGUCGAGGGCUUGACCAA
This 2088-nucleotide ribosomal RNA is filed under the name human gut metagenome. RNAcentral's name for it is "bacterial LSU rRNA". It matches the Rfam family "Bacterial large subunit ribosomal RNA", at positions 826 to 2925 of the family's 2925-position model. The record is from RNAcentral.